CUGCUGCCUUCCGUAGGAGUCUGGUCCGUGUCUCAGUACCAGUGUGGGGGACCUUCCUCUCAGAACCCCUAGACAUCGUCGCCUUGGUGGGCCGUUGCCCCGCCAACUAGCUAAUGUCACGCAUGCCCAUCCGUUGCCGGAAUCGCUCCCUUUGGCCGCAGGGCCAUGCAGCCCCGCGGCGUUACGCGGUAUUAGACGGGAUUUCUCCCGAUUAUCCCCCCUGCAACGGGCAGGUCGCAUACGCGUUACUCACCCGUGCGCCGG
Molecule: ribosomal RNA, 264 nt
Filed under: uncultured bacterium
Lineage: Bacteria
Description: partial 16S ribosomal RNA
Source: RNAcentral